RNAcentral lists this long non-coding RNA (944 nucleotides) under Salmo salar (Atlantic salmon). Its description in RNAcentral is "lncRNA (ENSSSAG00000098189.1)". Lineage: Eukaryota; Metazoa; Chordata; Actinopteri; Salmoniformes; Salmonidae. The record is from RNAcentral.
UUCAGAUAUUGGUAAGUGAACUGGAGGCAGGGCAUGAAAGGGAUAAUGAAUCCAGUUGUUUGUGUCGUCCGUUUUGGGAAAGUACCUGCGUAAUUGCGCACCCAGCUCACUCAGGUGCUUCGCUAUAUCACAUUGUCCGUAAGCUUGACUUAAUUUGAAAAAACAUCACCCAGAUAGGCCAGUCGUGUGAGAAACUCAUCAUCAUGGAAGCGGCCAGACAAGUGAAAAUGAUGAAGCAAAGUCCCUCCACAGUGCCUCAAACUGGAUUGCCUUUCAACUCCCGACAAGAUGGAGAAUGGCGUUUUGUGUUGCGUAGCGGGGGCAACCUGGGGCAAGGAUCCAUCACAGAGACACCGGCCUGAUAAACACAACCGGGACCUCCCAAUCUCCACGGCUCACAAAAGAAGAGCAGCAACCCCAGACGUCAUCUGACAGGGGUGUUCAAACCAAGAGUCUGGACAACCCCACCCCACCCCUCACCCUCCCUUUCUCUGUCACCAGCUCUUACUGACACCAGCUCUUACUGACACCUACCCCUCAGCCCCCUCUCUUUCCAUUUACUGUAACCAGCAUCCCCACCCACUGAGCACCAACCGACACCGGACGUCAAAAAGUAGUUGAAAUUUGGUCAGUCCAACCUGGCCUUGAUGUUAAUGUCCACAGACGGACUGGGCCAAAUCUGAACCUAUCACAGACGUAUGUUUCACAAGUUUGGAUAGCACAGCACAGUACCGCACAGUAUAGUAUAGUAUAGUAUAGUAUAGUACAGUACAGUACAAUACAGUGUAGUAUAGUACAGUACAGUAUAUUGUACUGUACUGACCUAUACUCUACUGUGCUAAACUCUACUGUACUCAACUGUGCUCUGCUGUGAUGUCCAAACUUGUGAAGCAGAAUGGCAUUCAUAUCCAUAAUUAUGCAUUUCUGUGUAGUACAGAUCAGGG